GAUGAACGCUGGCGGCGUGCCUAAUACAUGCAAGUCGAGCGAACGGACGAGAAGCUUGCUUCUCUGAUGUUAGCGGCGGACGGGUGAGCAACACGUGGAUAACCUACCUAUAAGACUGGGAUAACUUCGGGAAACCGGAGCUAAUACCGGAUAAUAUUUUGAACCGCAUGGUUCAAAAGUGAAAGACGGUCUUGCUGUCACUUAUAGAUGGAUCCGCGCUGCAUUUGCUAGUUGGUAAGGUAACGGCUUACCAAGGCAACGAUGCAUAGCCGACCUGAGAGGGUGAUCGGCCACACUGGAACUGAGAGACGCUCCAGACUCCUACGGGAGGCAGCAGUAGGGAAUCUUCCGCAAUGGGCGAAAGCCUGACGGAGCAACGCCGCGUGAGUGAUGAAGGUCUUCGGAUCGUAAAACUCUGUUAUUAGGGAAGAACAUAUGUGUAAGUAACUGUGCACAUCUUGACGGUACCUAAUCAGAAAGCCACGGCUAACUACGUG
RNAcentral lists this ribosomal RNA (497 nucleotides) under uncultured bacterium. Its description in RNAcentral is "partial 16S ribosomal RNA". It matches the Rfam family "Bacterial small subunit ribosomal RNA", at positions 28 to 507 of the family's 1533-position model. The record is from RNAcentral.